RNAcentral lists this unclassified non-coding RNA (155 nucleotides) under uncultured Hypocreales. RNAcentral describes it as "sequence contains ITS2". Lineage: Eukaryota; Fungi; Ascomycota; Sordariomycetes; Hypocreales. The record is from RNAcentral.
CUACCCUCGAGCACUGCUCGGUGUUGGCGGAUUGCCUAGCAACCGCUGAAAAUCAACGGCGGUGGCCCCUAUGUCCCUGUAUAGUACUAUUCUUACAGUGGUUAUAGCGGUCUACCAGUCUCUUGUCGGCGCCGUAAGAAGCGCUACAUUUUGAA